RNAcentral lists this ribosomal RNA (301 nucleotides) under uncultured bacterium. RNAcentral describes it as "partial 16S ribosomal RNA". It matches the Rfam family "Bacterial small subunit ribosomal RNA", at positions 509 to 808 of the family's 1533-position model. The record is from RNAcentral.
CAGCAGCCACGGUAAUACGUAGGUGGCAAGCGUUGUCCGGAGUUAUUGGGCGUAAAGGGCUCGCAGGCGGUUUCUUAAGUCUGAUGUGAAAGCCCCAGGCUCGACCGGGGAGGGUCAUUGGAAACUGGGAAACUUGAGUGCAGAAGAGGAGAGAGGAAUUCCACGUGUAGCGGUGAAAUGCGUAGAGAUGUGGAGGAACACCAGUGGCGAAGGCGACUCUCUGUCUGUAACUGACGCUGAGGAGCGAAAGCGUGGGGAGCGAACAGGAUUAGAUACCCCAGUAGUCCCUGUCUCUUAUACA